Musa acuminata AAA Group (dessert banana) is the source of this 1007-nucleotide long non-coding RNA. RefSeq lists it as uncharacterized. The transcript is spliced from 3 exons. Lineage: Eukaryota; Viridiplantae; Streptophyta; Magnoliopsida; Zingiberales; Musaceae. The record is from RefSeq and is a predicted model, not a curated record.
UUCGCCCCGAGACAGGAAACAGGUUCUCAACUCAAACGCCAGGCGACAUUGGGACAGGUGGAGCCCUUCUCAGGGACAAAACCUGUUCCUCGUCUCAGGAGAGACGGACAACUUGCGACAUCCAAAGCUCGGCCUUUGUCGCAAGCCUUCGCCAUGGUCAUGGAUUCAAACUUGUAAUGUUGCCAAAGCACCAUCGCUGUGAUGGGGCUUUGUCUCCCAUCUGCGUGAAAUAAACCCUUGAAUCCUCACGUCGGCGCAGCCCAUUCAUCCUCCGCACCUCGAUCGCCUAUUGCUAGGAUUCCCACUCGAAGGGUUUCUGCACUCGGUCAAGACGACGUCAGAACAAUCUCCGGUGUAAAAGGGACUCCUUCUACAAGCGAAACGAAAGUGCUACUAAGGCUGCUGUGAUGCAGUGGGCAAUGGAAGAUGAACACCAUCUGUAAAUUGAACAAUCCUGUGUGUCAAGGAAGAGCUUUGAUAUAACAGUAUGAUUGUUCUUUUGCACCAGAGAAACAUCUCUUCUCGCAGAGGUGUCUGCAGGGAAGCUCCUUCCUGCUUGGACCGAUGCUCGAUCACCACUUUGUCAUUAAUGGGGAAAGAGAUGUUUGUUUGAUGAAGUCAAUGCUGGGAUCGAGAAGAAACCGAGUUACACAUGGAUUUGAUUGAUGGGUAGGCAAAUCUUGUUUGGUGAAAGUGAGUUGGAGAUGAUAACCUAAACUUCUCUUUUCUUGUAAUCCAAAGCAUAUCGCUGAUCUGAGCCAGCCGCACGCCUGUUCAUGCAGUUUAUCUGGAAAGUCAGCUGUUGCUGUCAUUCUAUAAAUAUGUGUAGGUGAAGGAACUCAAACCUUCAUGAGCAAGCCAAAGACCUGCAAACUGAUGUCAAGAGGUGAAAUUUUUGUAAAGACUAUGCUACAUUUGGCUCCUUAUCAUCUCUUUUUGUGUUGGUGAGAUCUCCAACUUUGAAAGAGUUGAUUGGUAUUCGAUUGAUAGGAGCUUUGGUUGCUAAA